Molecule: ribosomal RNA, 222 nt
Filed under: Mesobacillus maritimus
Lineage: Bacteria; Bacillati; Bacillota; Bacilli; Caryophanales; Bacillaceae
Description: partial 16S ribosomal RNA
Rfam family: Bacterial small subunit ribosomal RNA
Source: RNAcentral
UUUAUUGGAGAGUUUGAUCCUGGCUCAGGACGAACGCUGGCGGCGUGCCUAAUACAUGCAAGUCGAGCGAAUCUGAGGGAGCUUGCUCCCAAAGAUUAGCGGCGGACGGGUGAGUAACACGUGGGCAACCUGCCUGUAAGACUGGGAUAACUCCGGGAAACCGGGGCUAAUACCGGAUAAUUCAUUUCCUCUCAUGAGGGAAUGCUGAAAGACGGCAUCUCG